GGAGAGGUGGCAGAGCGGUUUAAUGCGAGAGUCUUGAAAACUCUUGAGGGUUCACGCCCUCCGUGGGUUCGAAUCCCACCCUCUCCGCCA
RNAcentral lists this transfer RNA (90 nucleotides) under Pseudomonadota bacterium. Its description in RNAcentral is "tRNA-Ser". It matches the Rfam family "tRNA". From Rfam's summary of the family: Transfer RNA (tRNA) molecules are approximately 80 nucleotides in length. Lineage: Bacteria; Pseudomonadati; Pseudomonadota. RNAcentral also lists the same sequence under 2 other names. The record is from RNAcentral.